Molecule: unclassified non-coding RNA, 430 nt
Filed under: Hevea brasiliensis (rubber tree)
Lineage: Eukaryota; Viridiplantae; Streptophyta; Magnoliopsida; Malpighiales; Euphorbiaceae
Source: RNAcentral
AGAAUAUGAUGCUGAAGAUGAGGACGUCUAUGCAUCUGCUUAUGACUUUGAAGAAACUUUUGUACAAGACCAAGAAGUUGAAGAGCCACCAAGACCCAGCACAGACCAUCAGCCAAAAUUGGCCUGGAAGGAGCAAGGUGUUCUUCCCGGAUUCAGAGUUGCAUCAAAUUCUGAUUAUGCAUUGGAAAGAUUUGAUCCUCCCAAAAUUCCGAAGGAUUUUGUGCCCCAUCACAAAUUUCCUGGUCCCCUUAAUGCUGAUGACAAGCACACUAUUCCUCCUCCACCGGAGGUUCUGCCUCCUGUUGACAAUAAUAUGAAGCUCUUAAUUGAGGGGGUUGCAACUUUGGUUGCUCGAUGUGGUAAAUUAUUUGAGGAUCUUUCCCGAGAGAAAAAUCAAUCAAAUCCAAUAUUUAGUUUUCUUAAUGGAGGA